Non-coding RNA from Meleagris gallopavo (turkey), 310 nucleotides. The record is from RefSeq and is a predicted model, not a curated record. Lineage: Eukaryota; Metazoa; Chordata; Aves; Galliformes; Phasianidae.
CUCCUAGACUCCAUUUAGAGCUGACUGCCACUGGGGAUGGGUCUCUUGUUGGAGAUCUCUUCUUUUGGAGUUCUCUACUGUGAGCAUAGGGCACAGAAACUUGAAGGUAGAGGUCGCACAGAACAAACUGCAGUAUUUACAAGAUGCUCUAGGCCUGCAUUUCACAAGCCUUUGCUAUGAGUUAAAACAAGAUUUUGAAAUGAGGUUUGGGGGAAGACUGGAGACGAUGAGGGAAGCUUGAAAAAGAAUUUCUAUCCUUCUCCUACUUACGUGAUACAUGACCCCAUUCUUCUCUGCAGCUCUUAAAAGG